GCGGAGGAAAAGAAACCAACAGGGAUUGCCUCAGUAACGGCGAGUGAAGCGGCAACAGCUCAAAUUUGAAAUCUGGCUCCUUUCGGGGUCCGAGUUGUAAUUUGCAGAGGAUGCCUCGGGUGCGGGUUCCUUCCGAGUUCCCUGGAACGGGACGCCAUAGAGGGUGAGAGCCCCGUCUGGUCGGAAACCCAGCCCGUGUGAGGCUCCCUCGACGAGUCGAGUAGUUUGGGAAUGCUGCUCUAAGGGGAGGUAUACUCCUUCCAAGGCUAAAUACCGGCUAGAGACCGAUAGCGCACAAGUAGAGUGAUCGAAAGAUGAAAAGCACUUUGAAAAGAGAGUCAAACAGCACGUGAAAUUGUUGAAAGGGAAGCGCUUACUACCAGACUUGGGUUCGGCGGUUCAACCGGCGCCACGCGCCGGGGCACUCCGCCGGCCCAGGCCAGCAUCAGCUCUCCGUCGGGGGCAAAGGCGUCGGGAAUGUAGCUCCCUCUCGGGGGAGUGUUAUAGCCCGGCGUGUCAUACCCUUCGGGGGGCUGAGGACCGCGCUUCGCAAGGAUGCUGGCGUAAUGGUAGUCAGUGACCCGUCUUGAAACACGGACCAAGGAGUCAACCUUAUGUGCGAGUGCCCGGGCGUAAAACCCCAGCGCGUAAUGAAAGUGAACGUAGGUGAGAGCUUCGGCGCAUCACCGACCGAUCCUGAUGUCCUCGGACGGAUUUGAGUGAGAGCAUAUAGGGUUGGACCCGAAAGAAGAUGAACUAUGCGUGUGUAGGGUGAAGCCAGAGGAAACUCUGGUGGAGGCUCGCAGCGGUUCUGACGUGCAAAUCGA
RNAcentral lists this unclassified non-coding RNA (827 nucleotides) under Stachylidium bicolor. Its description in RNAcentral is "sequence contains 28S rRNA gene". It matches the Rfam family "Eukaryotic large subunit ribosomal RNA", at positions 50 to 901 of the family's 3401-position model. Lineage: Eukaryota; Fungi; Ascomycota; Sordariomycetes; Glomerellales; Plectosphaerellaceae. The record is from RNAcentral.